Camellia sinensis is the source of this 887-nucleotide non-coding RNA. The record is from RefSeq and is a predicted model, not a curated record. Lineage: Eukaryota; Viridiplantae; Streptophyta; Magnoliopsida; Ericales; Theaceae.
AUGAAAGCGGAAAAAGCGGGAAAUCAAAUUUUGGGGGGAAAAAAAAAAUCACUAACCAAAACGACGUUGUUUUAGUAAGAGUGGCAGGGAAGGCUGCAGGAAAGGGCGACCAAGGAUCCUUACUCUUUCCUAACAUGUCCAGCAUAUAUAUAUAUAUAUAAUAUUAGAUGGUUGAAGUCUCAAUAUAGGAACAAAAAAACAAAAUAGCUGCACCUUGAAGUGCUGGAAGUUUCUUCUAAUGACUAUUCUGGUUGACCUGUGAGUUCCAAGGAGGUGAGACGGUGUGGUUUGUUGUCUUGCUCAAACGGUGAUGUCAGUGUAUGCGCAAGGGUCAUGCGGCAAUAGCUCAUUAUAUGUAUGUUCAUACAUGCUCUAUCUGGUGCAUGUUCUACCAUGUGCAACAUCUUCCAGAAACUCAGGUGGGUCAAAAAAAGGGGGGAGAUUGCUUGUGGAUUUGGAAGAUGGUGCGCAGCCUUGCAAAAACAGUUCAAUUAGGUACCCCAACUACUCGGUGGAUCUCAGUCUAUAGUUCUAGGUCACCGAUGAAAUAGAGGUUAAAAGGAGAGUGGUACAAGAAAGUCAGUCAACUCCAUCUCCAUUGAGUUCAACCAGCACACCAAAGGAGAGUCAAAUGAUGUGGAGAGGCAAGCUAGUGUACAAUGCUAGUGGCCUUAAAACAGCAUCCACUGGACAAAAAAAUGGAGCACCUGGAGAUUGGAAGUAGGAAGCAUCCAUUGCACAGAAGAUUGAAUUUUUUUUUUUUCUUUUGGGAUAGAAAAAGGAAGCAUCUGCAUGACUUUCUCAUUGGGGCUUUUUGUACAUGUAAUGAUUUUUUGUUUGGAAUGGUUGCCCUGAACUUGUUAACUAUGUAAAUGUAGUAUUUUGGU